UAACCUGUAGUAGAAGGUGACUUCAGGUUC
RNAcentral lists this non-coding RNA (30 nucleotides) under Rattus norvegicus (Norway rat). The record is from RNAcentral. Lineage: Eukaryota; Metazoa; Chordata; Mammalia; Rodentia; Muridae.